GUAGUCCACGCCCUAAACGAUGUCGACUGGUUGUUGGGGGUUUGACACUCUCAGUAACGAAGCUAACGCGUGAAGUCGACCGCCUGGGGAGUACGGCCGCAAGGUUAAAACUCAAAGGAAUUGACGGGGACCCGCACAAGCGGUGGAUUAUGUGGAUUAAUUCGAUGCAACGCGAAAAACCUUACCUACCCUUGACAUGUCCUGGAGGCUGGGGAAACCCGGCUGUGCCCGAAAGGGAACGGGAACACAGGUGCUGCAUGGCUGUCGUCAGCUCGUGUCGUGAGAUGUUGGGUUAAGUCCCGCAACGAGCGCAACCCUUGCCAUUAGUUGCUACCGAAAGGAGCACUCUAAUGGGACUGCCGGUGACAAACCGGA
Molecule: ribosomal RNA, 375 nt
Filed under: uncultured bacterium
Lineage: Bacteria
Description: bacterial SSU rRNA
Rfam family: Bacterial small subunit ribosomal RNA
Source: RNAcentral